UACGUAGGUGGCAAGCGUUGUCCGGAAUUAUUGGGCGUAAAGCGCGCGCAGGGGGUUUCUUAAGUCUGAUGUGAAAGCCCACGGCUCAACCGUGGAGGGUCAUUGGAAACUGGGGAACUUGAGUGCAGAAGAGGAAAGUGGAAUUCCAAGUGUAGCGGUGAGAUGCGUAGAGAUUUGGAGGAACACCAGUGGCGAAGGCGACUUUCUGGUCUGUAACUGACACUGAGGCGCGAAAGCGUGGGGAGCGAACAGG
This 253-nucleotide ribosomal RNA is filed under the name uncultured bacterium. Its description in RNAcentral is "partial 16S ribosomal RNA". It matches the Rfam family "Bacterial small subunit ribosomal RNA", at positions 524 to 776 of the family's 1533-position model. The record is from RNAcentral.